AAUCCCGUGAUUGAAUCAAGUUACAAGAUAAUAAAACAAAGUUGAAAACAAAUCAAAGCUUCUUAAACAAGCAAAUAUAACAAUAUAAACAAAUAGAGUAAAGUGAAGUCCUCAAACGAGUUGUGAAGAUGAAGGAGCUCGACUUCUUCUUUACUUGACCCUCUUCUGAUUUGGCACGAAGUAGAGGAUCACUGAGGCAGCACACUGAUGGAGAGGAAGCUUUGGGAUUCACUUGGAAGCUCUUCUUCUCUCUAUUUCUCUUUGGAUGGCCCUUUUUGUGCUUAUGGGAGAUUUUCCUUGUAAUCUCUUUCCUAAAUGUUUUCUCCCACUUCCAUGCUGUCUCCCCUAGCUCUCCUCUUGUUUUUAUAGCUUUAGAUGGCGUGGAGACAAGAAUAUAGCCGUUAGAGACAAAAAUAGAGCCGUUGGAACCAGUCUGCACCUCCUGACAAUAUGACCGUUGGGAUCGGAGUCGACUCGCGCGAUCAGGAGUGACUCGCCUGUUGCAGGAGUCGGCUCGUGCUUUACUGGAGACGACUCGGCCACUGUUCCAAAUUUGAAUUAAAGUGCAUCCCUCGACUGGGAGUCGACUCGACUUAACCCGAAGUCGACUCGCC
RNAcentral lists this long non-coding RNA (614 nucleotides) under Phoenix dactylifera (date palm). RNAcentral's name for it is "long non-coding RNA (PDAC_LNC019952)". Lineage: Eukaryota; Viridiplantae; Streptophyta; Magnoliopsida; Arecales; Arecaceae. The record is from RNAcentral.